UGCGGAGGGAUCAUUACACAAUACAAUAUGAAGGCUGUCCGCAGCUGGAGUAUUUUAUUACCCUUGUCUUUUGCGCACUUGUUGUUUCCUGGGCGGGUUCGCUCGCCACCAGGACCACCAAAUAAACCUUUUUUAUGCAGUUGCAAUCAGCGUCAGUACAAACAAUGUAAAUCAUUUACAACUUUCAACAACGGAUCUCUUGGUUCUGGCAUCGAUGAAGAACGCAGCGAAAUGCGAUACGUAGUGUGAAUUGCAGAAUUCAGUGAAUCAUCGAAUCUUUGAACGCACAUUGCGCCCUUUGGUAUUCCAAAGGGCAUGCCUGUUCGAGCGUCAUUUGUACCCUCAAGCUUUGCUUGGUGUUGGGCGUUUUUGUCUUUGGUCGCCCAAAGACUCGCCUUAAAGUGAUUGGCAGCCGGCCUUUCUGGUUUCGCAGCGCAGCACAUUUUUGCGCUUGCCAUCAGCAAGACGGCAAUCCAUCAAGCCUCCUUCUCACGUUUGACCUCGGAUCAGGUAGGGAUACCCGCUGAACUUAAGCAUAUCAAUAA
Molecule: ribosomal RNA, 545 nt
Filed under: Curvularia sp.
Lineage: Eukaryota; Fungi; Ascomycota; Dothideomycetes; Pleosporales; Pleosporaceae
Description: eukaryotic LSU rRNA
Rfam family: 5.8S ribosomal RNA (bases 180-333)
Source: RNAcentral